UCUCUCUCUCUCUCUCUCUCUCUCUCUCUCUCUCUCUCUCUCUCUCUCUCCAGCUCUCCCUUUCAUCAGACUCCCUCUCUCUCCAAACACCGCCGAACGCCGCUAGAACCCCAAUCCGCACCAAAAUUUCCAGAUUUUCUCCUCUUCACUCCCUCUACCCAUUUCUCCAACCAAAAUCAUGAAAUUUGGCCAUUCAAUCCUCCAAAAACCUUAGAAUCCGAAGCCAAUUUGGGGGUUUUUGUGAUUUCUUCAUUCUAAGUUCAAAUCAAGGUAAUCUUCCUCCUAAUCUAACCUCUAAUCAUCCGAUCUAUACUUAUUUCAUCCCAAAUUCGAGAUUUUGAUUUGUGAUUUUGGUGCAUAAACCCGAUUUUCCCUUAAACCAUGAGGAUAGGCUACGGGUUUGGCAAGGAUUUGUGGUGAAGAAGGCCAAGGAGAAGGAAUAGGGCCGUGCGUUUUGAAGAAGAAAGGGUUCGAUUUCGGGUUGGCCGGAGAUGGGGGUUACUGGCUGUGCGUUUCUGGGUUGGAGCUUUGCUUCAUUCUUGAUCCAAUUUGAUGGCUGUUUGUAUUUUGUCUUGGGUCAACCUGGAGAGAGGAGCACUGGUGGCUGCUAUGGCGACCUGAUGCUGGUGGUGGUGCAAUAGGAAGAAUGGGAAGUUGGAGGGUGCCUUGCUUGGACCGGGCUGGGCCUUACACACGGGCUGUGAUCCAAUUGCUACCCAGACUGAUGCUGGGGUUUGGGCCCAUAAAAUGGGCCCUGCCUUGGCUGUUUGUUUUCUUCAAGUUUUUAUUUAUUUAUGUUAUUUAGUUGUUUUGCGCUUUUUGCGAGCAAUAAGUCCCUACAAGUAUUGUGUAGGGUUAAUCGGGCUUUUUGCCUGUGUGUGCACUCAAAGUGCUUUGUCUGCUCUAGGUAGGUGGCGAGUUCCUUGCUUAGUCAAAUGGUCGCUACUACCUAGUGCCAGGGUGAAGCUAAGUGUCGUAGUAUUUAUUCUCCGGCGGCAACAUAAUAGGAAAAUUGUGCAAUUGGUAAUUAUGCUACGUUGUAAUCGAGUUACAUAUCGAGUUAUCUUUCUGUUAUGUCACCGCUAUGUCAAAGCAAAUGGAGUAGCCAGUAGAG
This is a long non-coding RNA of Rosa chinensis, 1114 nucleotides long. RefSeq lists it as uncharacterized. The transcript is spliced from 3 exons. The record is from RefSeq and is a predicted model, not a curated record. Lineage: Eukaryota; Viridiplantae; Streptophyta; Magnoliopsida; Rosales; Rosaceae.